RNAcentral lists this ribosomal RNA (776 nucleotides) under uncultured marine bacterium. Its description in RNAcentral is "bacterial SSU rRNA". It matches the Rfam family "Bacterial small subunit ribosomal RNA", at positions 59 to 879 of the family's 1533-position model. The record is from RNAcentral.
AAGUCGAACGAAAUCUUCGGAUUUAGUGGCGCACGGGUGAGUAACAUGUGGGAAUCUACCUAAAGGUUCGGAAUAACUGCGGGAAACUGUAGCUAAUACCGGAUGUGUCUGCAAAGAGAAAGAUUUAUCGCCUUUAGAUGAGCCCGCACUAGAUUAGCUAGUUGGUGAGGUAACUGCUCCACCAAGGCUACGAUCUAUAGCUGAUUUGAGAGGAUGAUCAGCCACACUGGGACUGAGACACGGCCCAGACUCCUACGGGAGGCAGCAGUAGGGAAUAUUGGACAAUGGGGGAAACCCUGGUCCAGCAAUGCCGCGUGAGUGAAGAAGGCCCUCGGGUUGUAAAACUCUUUCAUCAAUGAUGAUAAUGACAUUAGUUGAAGAAGAAGCUCCGGCUAACUUCGUGCCAGCAGCCGCGGUAAUACGAAGGGGGCUAGCGUUGUUCGGAAUCACUGGGCGUAAAGCGUAUGUAGGCGGAUCAAAAAGUUAGAUGUGAAAUCCCUGGGCUCAACCCAGGAACUGCAUUUAAAACUAGUGAUCUAGAAUUUGGUAAAGGUUAGUAGAAUUUCCCAGUGUAGAGGUGAAAUUCGUAGAUAUUGGGAAGAAUACCAGAAAGCGAGGGCGACUAACUAAGCCAUUUUUGACGCUGAGAUACGAAAGCGUGGGUAGCAAACAGGAUUAGAUACCCUGGGUAGUCCACGGCAGUAAACGAUGAGUGCAAGUCGCUGGGACAAUAGUUUCAGUGUCGUAGCUAACGCAUUAAGCACUCCGCCUGGGAA